AGAGUUUGAUCAUGGCUCAGAAUCAACGCUGGCGGCGUGCCUAACACAUGCAAGUCGAACGCGAAAGCCCCGCAAGGGGUAAGUAGAGUGGCAAACGGGUGAGUAACACGUGGGUGACCUGCCUUCGAGUGGGGGAUAACGUUCCGAAAGGAGCGCUAAUACCGCAUGACAUUCUGCGUUUGGAAACGUGGAAAUUAAAGCCGGGGAUCGCAAGACCUGGCGCUUGAAGAGGGGCCCGCGGCCGAUUAGCUAGUUGGUAGGGUAACGGCCUACCAAGGCAACGAUCGGUAUCCGGCCUGAGAGGGCGGACGGACACACUGGGACUGAGACACGGCCCAGACUCCUACGGGAGGCAGCAGUGGGGAAUUGUUCGCAAUGGGCGCAAGCCUGACGACGCAACGCCGCGUGGAGGACGAAGAUCUUCGGGUCGUAAACUCCUUUCGAUCGGGACGAACGGCUUCCGGGUGAACAAUCCGGAAGAGUGACGGUACCGAGAGAAGAAGCCCCGGCUAACUCCGUGCCAGCCGCCGCGGUAAUAC
Molecule: ribosomal RNA, 539 nt
Filed under: uncultured bacterium
Lineage: Bacteria
Description: bacterial SSU rRNA
Rfam family: Bacterial small subunit ribosomal RNA
Source: RNAcentral